This 460-nucleotide ribosomal RNA is filed under the name uncultured bacterium. RNAcentral's name for it is "partial 16S ribosomal RNA". It matches the Rfam family "Bacterial small subunit ribosomal RNA", at positions 338 to 795 of the family's 1533-position model. The record is from RNAcentral.
CCUACGGGUGGCAGCAGUGAGGAAUAUUGGUCAAUGGACGAGAGUCUGAACCAGCCAAGUAGCGUGAAGGAUGACUGCCCUAUGGGUUGUAAACUUCUUUUAUAUGGGAAUAAAACGUUCCACGUGUGGGAUUUUGUAUGUACCAUAUGAAUAAGGAUCGGCUAACGCCGUGCCAGCAGCCGCGGUAAUACGGAGGAUCCGAGGGUUAUCCGGAUUUAUUGGGUUUAAAGGGAGCGUAGGUGGAUUGUUAAGUCAGUUGUGAAAGUUUGCGGCUCAACCGUAAAAUUGCAGUUGAAACUGGCAGUCUUGAGUACAGUAGAGGUGGGCGGAAUUCGUGGUGUAGCGGUGAAAUGCUUAGAUAUCACGAAGAACUCCGAUUGCGAAGGCAGUUCACUGGACUGCAACUGACACUGAGGCUCGAAAGUGUGGGUAUCAAACAGGAUUAGAUACCCCAGUAGUC